GCUGCGGUAGUUCAAUGGUAGAAUCCAGGACUGUGGAUCCUGGGACGCGAGUUCGAUUCCCGCCUGCGGCC
RNAcentral lists this transfer RNA (71 nucleotides) under archaeon. RNAcentral describes it as "tRNA-His". It matches the Rfam family "tRNA". Rfam says of the family: Transfer RNA (tRNA) molecules are approximately 80 nucleotides in length. The record is from RNAcentral.